CUGACCGUAAACUAUGCCAUCUAACGAGUUGAUGUAGGUUAUAUAUAGCCAUUUUAACGAGUUAUGCGGAAACGAAAGUCUUUCGGUUCCGGGGGGAGUAUGGUUGCAAAACUGAAACUUAAAGGGAUUGACGGAAAGUCACCACCAGAAAUGGAGCCUGCGGCUUAAUUUGACUCAACACGGGAAAACUCACCCGGUCUAGACACUAAAAUGAAUGACAGACUGAUAUAUCUUUCAAGAUAUAGUGCAAAGUGGUGCAUGGCCGUUCUUAGUUCGUGGAGUAAUCUGUCUGGUUAAUUUCGAUAACGAACGAGACUAGAACGUGGUUAGUUGUGUGUGAUAUAAAAUAGUAUUACACAGUAUUAGACGGAUAUGCAAAUAAAAAUUGCCUGAAAACUGGCAAUAACAGGUCUGUUAUGCCCUUAGUUGUCCGGGGCCGCACGCGCGCUACAAUGGAAAUUGCAGUGCGUAUAUACUGUAUUGAAAAAUAUGGUUAAACGUGUUAAAUUAUUCCGCAUUUGGGAUCGGAAACUGUAAUUGUUUCCGUGAACGAGGAACUUCAAGUAAGUGUGUGUCAUUAGCGCACGCUG
RNAcentral lists this ribosomal RNA (590 nucleotides) under Halicephalobus sp. NK2011_2. RNAcentral describes it as "bacterial SSU rRNA". It matches the Rfam family "Eukaryotic small subunit ribosomal RNA", at positions 1026 to 1643 of the family's 1831-position model. The record is from RNAcentral. Lineage: Eukaryota; Metazoa; Nematoda; Chromadorea; Rhabditida; Panagrolaimidae.